Molecule: ribosomal RNA, 250 nt
Filed under: uncultured bacterium
Lineage: Bacteria
Description: partial 16S ribosomal RNA
Rfam family: Bacterial small subunit ribosomal RNA
Source: RNAcentral
UAGAUACCCUGGUAGUCCCGGCUGUAAACGAUGAUUACUGGGUGUGGGCAGGAAGACUGUCUGUGCCGAAGCAAAUGCGAUAAGUAAUCCGCCUGGGGAGUACGGCCGCAAGGCUGAAACUCAAAGGAAUUGACGGGGACCCGCACAAGCGGUGGAGCAUGUGGUUUAAUUCGACGCAACGCGAGGAACCUUACCAGAUCUUGACAUCCCGCGAAUGCCCGUGAAGACGGGCAGUGCCUUCGGGGAACGC